AUUCACGGCAGCUGAGCACAUGUACGCCUCCAAACCAACUCCUUGGUUAAUAAUUGCGGCUGCACAGACCGAGUGGAGCUCGGCCAGUGAGAAAGGAUCGAUCGAUGGCCGUCGGCGAGGCAGCAGCGCCGUUGCUGGAGAAGAAGGCGGCGGUGUACCAUGAGGGGUGCCCGGGCUGCGUUGUGGAGCAGAGGAAGGUGAUCAACCCCGGCGUCCCCUACAAGCAAUUCUUCCACAUCUGGAUCAUCAUCCUCGUCUCAAGUUUGCCAAUAUCGUCGCUAUUCCCCUUCUUGUAUUUUAUGAUUCGAGACUUGCAUGUUGCCAAAACAGUAGAGGAUAUUGGAUUCUAUGCUGGGUUUGUAGGAGCCUCCUAUAUGCUUGGUAGAGCUUUAACCUCUACUGCUUGGGGGAUGGUAGCAGAUCGUAUCGGGAGAAAGCCAGUUAUUGUGUUCGGAAUUUUCUCCGCGUUUCUAUUCAAUCUUUUGUUCGGAUUAAGUGUUCGAUACUGGAUGGCAAUAUCUACACGAUUUCUCAUUGGUUCAAUGAAUGGUUUAAUUGGCCCUAUAAGGGCUUAUGCUAUUGAAGUUUGUCGACCAGAGCACCACCCUAUUGCAUUGUCACUUGUUAGCACAGCAUGGGCAAUAGGUCUCAUUGUUGGGCCAACAAUUGGUGGAUAUCUUGCACAGCAGAAAAAUAUCCAAAGUUAUUUCCCGCUGAGUCAUUAUUCGGAAGGUUCCCAUAUUUCUUACCUUGUUUGUGUAUAUCAGGCUUCUGCUUUGUUGUUCUUAUAAGCUCCAUUUGGCUCCCGGUAUGUACAAUUAAUCAACAUUGUUUUCAUUGAUUUAAAAUAAGCAUGUGAGACAAUAAUAGUAUGUGGUUAAUGAAAAAUGAAAUGCAUAAAAGUUAAAGCGUUGAGAAAUAAACACUACUACCUCAAACCCCUAAAUCAAAUGGCUUGAAACCACAUCCGAGAUGGAUAUAUAUAUCUGGCGUUGGUGUUAGGUGGUAAGUUACACCCUUGUCCUUCACCAUGUGAGUAGUAGGUUCACCUUGUCUUCUGUAUUAAUAAAUAACUAAAAAUAUGUAAAAAAAAAUUAGGACAUAUUACAUGAACACAAACCACGAUAAAAUACUUUCUAUUGCUUCAAGGGAAUGUUGAAUUAUAAUGCUUAUCAAUUUACAUUCCUCAUUUUUAUAGUAAACAAAUCCAUGCAAAAAAUAACAUGCUCUAGCUGAUUUACUAGAUCCCAAAAGCUCACUCGAUUGGGUCCUAAUAUGUUGCACUAGUAUAAUACCAGUAAUGCAUAGUAAGGCCGGGUCGGACAUGCAUUUAU
Lolium rigidum is the source of this 1334-nucleotide RNA transcript. It is a transcript of the gene named protein ZINC INDUCED FACILITATOR-LIKE 1-like, with no coding region annotated. The transcript has 10 exons. The record is from RefSeq and is a predicted model, not a curated record. Lineage: Eukaryota; Viridiplantae; Streptophyta; Magnoliopsida; Poales; Poaceae.